RNAcentral lists this long non-coding RNA (341 nucleotides) under Gossypium barbadense (sea-island cotton). RNAcentral describes it as "long non-coding RNA (GBAR_LNC003648)". The record is from RNAcentral. Lineage: Eukaryota; Viridiplantae; Streptophyta; Magnoliopsida; Malvales; Malvaceae.
UAAACAUUUCCUGCCAAAACAAAAAGAACGAUUAGAUUGAUACUACAUAUAUUACAAUUGAGUUGUAAAUAUAUGUACUUACAGAAAGCAUUCCUUUGACGAUAGAUUUUGGUAAACUGUCCAAACCAUUUUGUUUAUCAUUACUCUCAUAACUCAACAGAACAUCUAACAUAUCCAUUUUCCGUUUGUAGGGUAUCGUCCCAUCAAGUUGAGCUUUUCCCUUCUCAGCAAACCUCUCCUCAAUUAACUUCUCAUAGAAAGCAUCCAACUGGCCGAAGAUCUUGUUGAUUUUUCUCUUCAAGCCUUGUGGAUCAAAUGGUUUAACAAAUGGAAUGAGAUCA